This 232-nucleotide long non-coding RNA is filed under the name Elaeis guineensis (African oil palm). RNAcentral describes it as "long non-coding RNA (EGUI_LNC070816)". Lineage: Eukaryota; Viridiplantae; Streptophyta; Magnoliopsida; Arecales; Arecaceae. The record is from RNAcentral.
GGAUAUGGUUCAGCUUCUCAAAAUUAAAAAUAAUUCUUAAAUUUUGGAGCCAGUCCUUGUAAUUGGUUCCAAUCAACCUAAUGGUGUCAAGGAUUCGAGCUAAUAGAUUUAAACUCGACAUGGUUAACUGCAGAGAGAAAUAAUUUCUAAUUAAAUAUUUUGAACUUGUAAAUGUUUGUUAUUGGGACUUUAAUAAACAAACAAGGGCUUCCACUAUUUCUACGGAUCUCCC